GUCCAGACUCCUACGGGAGGCAGCAGUGGGGAAUAUUGCACAAUGGGGGAAACCCUGAUGCAGCGACGCCGCGUGAGUGAAGAAGUAUUUCGGUAUGUAAAGCUCUAUCAGCAGGGAAGAAAGUGACGGUACCUGACUAAGAAGCCCCGGCUAACUACGUGCCAGCAGCCGCGGUAAUACGUAGGGGGCAAGCGUUAUCCGGAUUUACUGGGUGUAAAGGGAGCGUAGACGGCAUGGCAAGUCAGAUGUGAAAGCCCGGGGCUCAACCCCGGGACUGCAUUUGAAACUGUCAGGCUGGAGUGCAGGAGAGGUAAGUGGAAUUCCUAGUGUAGCGGUGAAAUGCGUAGAUAUUAGGAGGAACACCAGUGGCGAAGGCGGCUUACUGGACUGUAACUGACGUUGAGGCUCGAAAGCGUGGGGAGCAAACAGGAUUAGAUACCCGAGUA
RNAcentral lists this ribosomal RNA (446 nucleotides) under uncultured bacterium. Its description in RNAcentral is "bacterial SSU rRNA". It matches the Rfam family "Bacterial small subunit ribosomal RNA", at positions 329 to 792 of the family's 1533-position model. The record is from RNAcentral.